Long non-coding RNA from Ornithodoros turicata, 303 nucleotides. RefSeq lists it as uncharacterized. Lineage: Eukaryota; Metazoa; Arthropoda; Arachnida; Ixodida; Argasidae. The record is from RefSeq and is a predicted model, not a curated record. The transcript has 3 exons.
UACACGACUCGGCGUAAAAAUGUGGACUGCCACGAGUCUCAUAGCAAACGUGUGUGUACGUAGUACGUCCAGCUCCUUGAAUUAGGAUGUGGAAGGUGGUGUUGCUGUUGCUAUGCGUAUCGGUUCUGAGCAAGGUGCCACAUGAGAACAAUAUGUAUAAGCACUCGUGCGACGAGCAGCCUGACGGAACAAACUGCGACGCCUACUGUCAAGUGCAGAGGUCCAGUAUGGUAGCCAAGGGUGCCUGCCACGGUGGAAAGUGUGACUGCCGUUAGUGGUCGGCGUAGUCGCCCAUUUGAGGUG